AAUAGCAGUACCAUCUGCAAUGCAGUGCAAGCAUGCAAGAGAAAAAUGAGGUCAGCCCCACCUAGACAGGUUUGCCAUCUGACCAGUAAUAAAAAGGCACCAUGAUCAUCACUUGCCAGCAUUUAUUUCCCCAGAUCCUUCAGCCCCGCAGGGCAAUUUACCAUCACCGGGUUUUUCACUUGAAGCAGCAACUCAGAGAAGGGAGAGAAGAGCUAGAGACUGCCUCCCCUCAAGGCCACAGAACAGGUUUCAUGAUUAAACAUGCAGAGAAUCAAAUGAAGCCAGCAUACAAGACCCUCCUCUUUUUCACUGUAUCUUCGCAACAAACCCUGUGAGAGAGAAGUCUCCAGCCAAGCAAAGGAAGCAGAAACAAGCCAUGUUUUGACCAUCACAAUGCCAAAGUGAACACGAGAAAGCAAGGAAAUACAUAGCUCAUGGGUCACAACUGAGGCUUGUGUCGUUCAACCUUUUGUUGCAGCAAUGGAUAGCUAAGAGCCAAAGCAGGAAUAAAAUGUUGUCUCUCCCUCCCCUGCUUUUGUCUGUCCUCUACACUUGGGAAGCAAUGUUUACUCCCCUUGUAAGGGUGAAACUUCACCCCCUUCAGGCCUGGUACCUGGGAAUGUUUGACCCUCUUCGCAACAGCCUACACACUCUUCUCUUCAUUCAACCUGCCAUCUGCCACUUGCUUCUUUGGUGGACAAAGUGAUUCAUUGUGUUCACCAGAGUUCUGUUUUAUUCUCCGACUUCAUCCAGGACACUGACCAUGGACUCUUCCCUCCAGGGUUGUGGAGCUCACUCGGACAACCUCACAAUCCAAAAUCCAGGAUGGAAGCUUGCCAUCACAUCUCCUUCCUUGAAUUACUAGCAGUUGAGAAGGUCUUCCGGGCAUUUGAACGUUCUUUAAGAGGACACAUGGUCAAAAUCCUCACGGACAAUACGACAAUGAAAUUCUAUAUCAACAAACAAUGGGGAAUAUACUCCCUUUCACUUCUGGUUCUCACGCGCUACAUCUGGAACUAGUGUACCCCAGGGGUACACCAGUUCCCGUUGCCUUUCACCUCCCGGGAGAGGUGAACAUUCUGGCCUACUAUCUGAGUAGAACUCACACCAAUCACAAGUGGUGCUUCAACCCUGACAAGGUCCUCUCUGUUUUCCAGCUCUGGGGCAUUCUUGAAGUGGACCUUUUUGCUCCACCGGACAAUGCUCACUGCCAUCACUUCUGUGCAUGGUUAUCCCAGGGACAGGUGCACAGCUACCUCGGGAAUGUGUUUCUUUUUACAUGGCACCCCGCCUUCCUAUACGCAUUUCCACUGAUUACUCUUUUGACACAAAGUGUGUCCAAAAUUUGGACAAAUGACCCAAACUGCAUCCUGAUCACCCCUUGGUGGCCUCGACAGGCCAAGUUCAUCCACUUUCUUGAAGCAUCACACAGCGAGUUCAUCUACCUUCAAAGUCAAUUGGACCUCCUGACCUCCCAAGGGGUCAGGUCCAUGAUCUGGACGUACAGUGCCUGCGUCUUACAAUCUGGUGGAUAUGUUCCAACAUCUCUUUCAGCCCAUAAAGGCCAUCAUUGACUUGGCCCAGAGGGCUUGCACCAAGCGUUCUUAUGUUUAUAAAUGGAAUCAUUUCAUCACCUUUCUAAAUGGGAAAAGGACUGAGUCGCUAAUUGCCACCACUCCAGUGAUUUUGGACUUCCUGGUUUCCCUGUUGGACACUGGGCUCUCUUUCUCCUCCCUAAAAUGUUACUUGGUAGCAAUUUUAUGGUACAGGAGAAAGGCCAGUCACCCUUCCUGCUUCUCUGACCCUCUGGUUCAACUCUUCCUUAAGGUUUACAAGAACGCACAACCUCCCACGCCAGCCUGGAGUCUGGAAGUUGUACUCUCACAUUUGUCCAACCUGCCAUUCAAACCCCAAUCCUUGGCGGACAUAUUUUGGAAGACAGCCUUUCUCAUUGCUAUCACCUCCGCAUCAUGGGUGAGCGAGCUGUGUGCCCUUCACAUGGAUGAACCAUAGCUAUGUUUCCACAAAGAUAAGGUUGUGCUUCGUACUGAUAUUGUAGUUCUACCCAAAGUUGCUUCAAAGUUCCACAUAUCACAGGACAUGGUAUUACUGGCUUUUUUCCAGAAUCCAUCCUCUCCUCUGGAACAAUCCCUUCAACCUUCUAGAUGUCCAAAGAGCCUUGGCUUUUUAUAUAUGUCUGGGCACAGAAAGUCCCCCAAACCUUUUCUCAAAUAUCAGAAGGAUGCCAAUGGUCUUCUGGUGUUCCCCCAACAGCUGUCCUCAUGGAUUGUGUCCACUAUCUCUUUGACUUACCAACUGACAGAUCGUGACUUACUUCCACAAAUCAAGAGCCAUUCCACAAUGGCCGUGGCCACCUCCCAAUCUUCUCUGAGGGGUGUUCUGAGGGGACGUCUGAUGGGAGGUUGCCUGGUCUACCCCACUCUCCUUUGUUACCCAUAAAAAGGUGGAUACUCUUUCUAAGAAAGAUGCAGCCUUCCACAGAGUGGUUCUCUUCUCUUCGGUGUCAUGAGGCCCACCAUCCAAGGUUAGUAGUUUGCUAGUCUCCCAUAUAUGUGACACCACGAAGAAGGAAGGCUUGCUUACCUGUAACCAUUUUUCUUUGAGUGGUUAUCUGUGAAAUUCACACAUCCCUUCCCAUCCUCUCCACUACUUCAUAUGCCUCGGUCCCUAGUUGCUAUUCUGCUGCGGAGGAACUGAGGCGGUAGCCCCUCCCACUGGUUAUAUACAUCCAUGGGGAGUGUGGGCAGGGCUACUACCAAAAUGUAUCCUAGAGAGCUUCUAGAAGAUUCCAAACUGACUGCGCAGGCACAGAAAAUUCCAUAUGUGUGAAUUUCACAGAUGACCAGUUGAAGAAACAUGGUUACUGGUAAGCAACCCUUCUUUCUUGAUUCAACCAUUUAAUAAUGCAAAUGUAAAGCUUAUACCACCCAGAAACCUUGUAUGUAUUACAUAUCCCUCUGUCCCACAUAAUGGAGACAGUAAUUCCAUGAUAUAGCUUCUGUAAUCAGAAAUUAAUAACAGCGCCAGAGAGGUUCAAUAUCAAUUUAAGAUUCAUUGGUGAAAAUAAUUAAGACCAAAAUGGUAUAAUGUAAAAUUUAGAAACAAUACCAAUUUAUAACAGACAAAUGGGACCGUCGGACUUCUCAGGUAAAAUAACACUCACACCCUGAAUGAUUGAAUACCUUUGUGUAGAGAAAAGAUACUUGCUCUUGAUUUUGUGUAUUGCAGUUUACUACUAUUGCUAUUACAUUUUUUUUUAGUUUAUGUUGUUAACUGUUGCUUACAUUGACUGUUUCUCUUGCUGUAUUGAUUAUGGAUUUUAUAUCCUUUCAUGUAAGUUACCGUACUUAAAAACUCCUUAUGUGCUGGGAACUGACAUAUAAAUCUAAUAAAUGGAAUUAGAGAGUUGAAGGAAAGGGGCAAAAUGUUCACAGGGCAAACAGGAACACAGAUUUAGUAGGUGACUAUAUGCAGCAGCUACUGCAGCCUGGCAUUUUGUGUUUUUAUGAGAAGCCCAGCAGAAAUUCAGACUGGACCCUUAGGUUAGUUGCUUCAGAUUUCGAGCCCACUCAGGUCCCUUCUACACUGCCAUAUAAUCCAGAUUUUCAAAGCAGAUAAUUCACAUUAUCUCCUUUGAACUGGAUUCUAUGAGUCUACACUGCCAGGUAAUCCAGUUCAAAGCAGGUAAUCUAGAUUUUAUAUGGCAGUGUAGAAGGGGCCACAGAGGCUUGCGUUGGACAACAGAAUGGCUCAAAAUAAACCUGGAAGGAAAGUUACCGAUGUGCCUUCAGGGGAGUCACAUAAUACAGUUGGUCCUUUACAUUUGCAUUUAAAACAUUCGAUUAUUCGUGGAUUUUAUUCUAGGAAUCUCUAGGUCCUCUGUUAUAACUGUAUGGUCAACUUCUAUAACCACUGAAGUACGCUGAAGGAUAUAGAGUUUCCUAAAGAGAACACUUCUCUUGGCAUUUUAUAUGAUUCUGUGAUUAACUUCCUGUGGAAGUAAAAACUAGGUAAAAUAGCUAAAAUUGGUUUAAAAUUAGAGUUUUUAUUCACAGUUUUUCUCAGUUUCAUAAGAGUCUUGCAUACCUAACUUCAGUGAAAAUUUGCUGGAUGCAGUGACUCCUUGCAGGAAUAUCAGGAACAAGAAUUCUGUUCUGGCUUUCUAAUGAUGCUCAUCCUCAUAUGCAACUCCACCUUUCCACCAAAGUUGUCCAGCAUAAAAAACAUUUUGACUCUCUGAUCUUCUGUCUCUUCUGGUCCUGGAUGUUUAUUUGCUCUGGAAGGCUGUAGCCAAUGCCUGUAUGGUAGCUUUGCCUUAACAGAGACUCCCCAUUCUCAUUGUCCUAUCUGUCAGAGCUAAGAAAAGUUAUCUUUUUAGAUUACAACCCCUAAAAUUUCCCAGCCAGUGUGGCCACUAGACAGGAGAUUCUGGUAGUUGUAGUACAAAAGGUUAUCCCCCUUCACCCCCACCCCAGCCCCCACUUUCCACACUCAGCUUGACUGGUUUCACUGAAGGUGUCUGUGCAAAGCAUCAGAGAGCUCCAUCCACAUACUGGCAAAUUGUUGUUCAGACCAGCUGGUGUGAGCAGACGGCUCUGUAGCAGCAUCCAGGUUUGGCUGAGCUGUGCAAGCGUGGCAAAUGCCAGAUGCGCCAGGCAUGGCUGCAUUAGGAGAGCUUGUCAGUGUGAUGGCUGUGAUAUCACAUUGCUCAGCAUCCUCAUAUCACCAGAUACACCAGUCUUUUUCCAUGAAACCACAGAUUUCACCAAACUACGGAGCAAAUCUCAUGAUCAAACACAUUGAAAUAUGGAACAAUGUAUAUUCUCCCAAGUAAUGAAUGGCCAUUUGACUUCUUUGCCUUACACACGCAGAUCUGGCGAUGAAAUCAUAUGGUUGUGGGGAGUGUCUUCUAAAAGAAUCAAAUGCCAGUGCUGCAGAAAUAAUCAGUAGAAUACAGUAGAAUAUUAAGAGGAUAGAUAUUGGUUAAUAAUCUUUUAUCAACUGGAGAUAAGAAGGAGCAAAUACAGACAGUCCCGAAGUUACAAACAGGAUAGGUUCUGUAAGUUGAAUGUGUAUGUAAGUUGAAACAGGUAUUUUAUUAAGUAUAACUCCAGUCAAAGGAGCCCCGGUGGUGAAGUGUGUUAAAGCACUGAGCUGCUGAACUUGCAGACCGAAAAGUCCCAGGUUCAAAUCCCGGAAGCGGAGUGAGCACCCGCUGUUGCUCCAGCUUCUGCCAACCUAGCAGUUCGAAAACAUGCCAAUUUGAGUAGAUCAAUAGGUACCGCUCCGGCAGGAAGGUAACAGCGCUCCAUGCAGUCAUGCCGGCUACUUGACCUUGGAGGUGUCUACGGACAACGCCGGAUCUUCGGCUUAGAGAUGGAGAUGAGCACCAACCCCCAGAGUCAGACAUGACUGGACUUAAUGUCAGGGGAAACCUUUACCUUAACUCCAGUCAAAAUAUAUGUGGUGUUUAUUUUGCUGUCUGUUUCCCCUGUUCAUCUCACUUUCUGUCCCUGUGAUAAUUGGAUUUUUUAAAAUUUAGCUUGUUAUGGAAAUAAGGAUUGGUGAUAAAGCUUCAGUUGAGAUAUCUUUUCCCCAUGAUAACCCUUUCAGGAGUUAAUUUCUCUCACUUCCUGUUGUCUCAUCCCUGUUUGUGAAUUUGUAAGUUAGAUAUUUGUAACUUGAGAACUGUCUGUAUUCCUCACAACAAAUCCCAAUGUGUUCAGCUCAUACUUUGUAAGAUGGUUUCGGGUUAUGGCCUUCCAGAUAUUGUUGGACUAAGGCCCCUUCUACACAGCUAUAUAAAAUCUACAUUGAACUGGAUUAUAUGGUAGUGUGGACUCAGAUAACUCAGUUCAAAGCAGAUAUUGUGGAUUAUCUGCCUUGAUAUUCUGCGUUAAAUGGCUGCAUGGAAGGGCUCAAAAACUGUGUGUCAGGAAGAGCUGAUGGUACUUGCAGUGAAACUAAAGGCUGUCCACCUCUAUUGGAACAUGAUUAGCGCCAUGCUUCUCAAAGCUCUGUUAAGCUUCAAAUUGUACUUCUCAUAGAUUGCUUAUUUAUUCAUGGGAAUUUCUGGCACAAAAUAUAUCUUGUAAACCAUGGGCUCUUCCACACUGCUCCUUUAUCCCAGGAUCUGAUCCCAGAUUAUCUGUUUAUCUCAGGUUAUCUAGCAGUGGGGACUAUUCCAGUUUAAAACAGAUAAUCUAGGAUCAGAUCCUGGGAUAAAGGGCAGUGUGGAAACACCCUGAGAUAAACCAAAAUAAGCUUUUCAAGAGCCGGGCUGCUGUAUCAAAGCAGAACUUUCAAGUUCCAGGAUUUAUGCUAUUCGAUAAAGCUGUAGCUAAGGAUGCUAGAGACUUUUAUUAGGAUUUAAAAUAAUGGGAAAAUCUCCUUUCCUAACUUUUGGAAGGAGAUGAUUUUGUCUGUUGAGACCACCAUGCUUAAAUUCUGCUUUCUUUACUCUCGUCCCCCCUCUGCCCCCACUGCAUGUAGCUAUCUGGUUUAUUUUAUUGUAUUUUUCUAUUGCGAGCCCUUUAAGGGAUGUGGACACUUAUGUGCAAUUCAAAUCUGCUGCUCUGAGUGGGAGAUAAAUCAGAAUAAACAAACCACUAAAUAAAAUAUGACAACAUGAGAGUGCUUUUGCUUAUAAUCGUUCUUGAAUUGUGUGGUAUGAAUGAGCCAGAUUAUUUGACACAGAUGUAUUGACUCUGCCUGUUGAGAGCAGGGGUGAAAGAAGGAGCUAGUGAAUAUUCUCAAAGUACCUACUGCAAUUCUUAAAGCAGAUCUGGCUCUGAGGCUGAGAAACUACUAAUACACAGAUCUUACUGCGGUAUGCCCCACUCAAUUCAGUUAGGCUUCCUCCCAGGUAGUUUGCUGUGGGACUGAACCCUAAAUUUGUUUAUGGCUGCAACCCUACUCAGUUUCCCUGGAUGGGUGUAUUCCAAAUGACAAUGAUAGCUAGGGAUGAUGAAAAUUGUAGUCUGACACGCCCG
Anolis carolinensis (green anole) is the source of this 7013-nucleotide long non-coding RNA. RefSeq lists it as uncharacterized. The transcript is spliced from 3 exons. Lineage: Eukaryota; Metazoa; Chordata; Lepidosauria; Squamata; Anolidae. The record is from RefSeq and is a predicted model, not a curated record.